This is a long non-coding RNA of Haliotis rubra (blacklip abalone), 160 nucleotides long. RefSeq lists it as uncharacterized. Lineage: Eukaryota; Metazoa; Mollusca; Gastropoda; Lepetellida; Haliotidae. The record is from RefSeq and is a predicted model, not a curated record. The transcript has 3 exons.
GAAAGUAUGCCACGAAGGAGAUCCAGUGCAAGGGGCACCGGUGGAGCCUCAUCUACAACAACAACAGACUCCACUACCAACACCGCAGGUGUCGUCAGUUUGGAUGCUCAUGUUGGGGAUGCUGCUGUAGAGGAUGCUGCUGUGAAUGUGCCAGUAAUGG